UACGAAGGGGGCUAGCGUUGUUCGGAAUUACUGGGCGUAAAGCGCGCGUAGACGGUUUUGUAAGUCAGAUGUGAAAUCCCUGGGCUCAACCUGGGAACUGCAUUUGAGACUGCAUGGCUAGAGUAUGGAAGAGGGAAGUGGAAUUUCCGGUGUAGCGGUGAAAUGCGUAGAUAUCGGAAGGAACACCAGUGGCGAAAGCGACUUCCUGGUCCAAUACUGACGUUCAUGUGCGAAAGCGUGGGGAGCAAACAGG
This 253-nucleotide ribosomal RNA is filed under the name uncultured bacterium. Its description in RNAcentral is "partial 16S ribosomal RNA". It matches the Rfam family "Bacterial small subunit ribosomal RNA", at positions 524 to 776 of the family's 1533-position model. The record is from RNAcentral.